This 641-nucleotide unclassified non-coding RNA is filed under the name Hevea brasiliensis (rubber tree). The record is from RNAcentral. Lineage: Eukaryota; Viridiplantae; Streptophyta; Magnoliopsida; Malpighiales; Euphorbiaceae.
AGGAGAAGAUACUUGGUUGGGGUGUGUUAUCUCAAACUUAAAAUGCUGAUGGAUCUGUGAUGGCUAUUAUGUUUGACCUAAUUUCAUUCCUAUUUUAGUGCAUAUGUUUUGUUGGCACUGUAUAUUUAUUCAUGAUUUGUGAUAUCAUUGUAUCAUUUGUUACAUUUGAAGCACAAAAUGUAACUUGGUAUAUAUUGCUGAUAAGAGUUCCUAGUUAAGUUACUUACCUUCGUCCCUCACUCUCCUGAAAUCACAUAUUUGGUCUUUUAUGUUGCUUCUGCCAUAUUUGUGAUAUAGGAUUGUUGGUACUAUCAAAAUUUAAUUUGACAGUAGGAAAGUAGUCCCUGCUGCUGUUUCUGCCUAAAAUCUGUUCAUAUUUCACCUUUCUUUGACUCAAUUCUGAGAAUAAUGUUGGUAUUCUCAAUUUUAAUUUUCCGUUUCUUUUGUUGAGGGAUCUAUUAUUUAAUGUAUGAGUAUGAAGAUAGUUUAUUCUUUUUUCAGGGGCGGAGAUAAUAGCUUUUUUAAGGUUGCAUUGCUGCUUGUUUUCUUUUUGUAUUUCUUGAAAAUGUUUUCAGUUUAUUAUGCAUGCAAAAUCUGAUUCCGGUUUGCUAAAACCUAUGAGAAAAUAUCUAAUCCUUAUG